CAAUUUCAUAGCAAGAUCUAUCCUUGAAAACCCAAAAUCUAAGGGAUUGACGCCCGAGGAACUGCAGAAAACUGUGACAAGGGCUUUGGGGGACAUUAAAGAUAGGAGCAAAUGGAAAAAAGUGUGGCAGGCUGGGAAAUUUAUUUAUUGCAUGUCAACUUGGGGAAUUGCUUUGGCAGGGCUAUAUAGGCACCGGGCUGUACUGAAAAUUGCGGCAAAAGG
RNAcentral lists this unclassified non-coding RNA (222 nucleotides) under Hevea brasiliensis (rubber tree). The record is from RNAcentral. Lineage: Eukaryota; Viridiplantae; Streptophyta; Magnoliopsida; Malpighiales; Euphorbiaceae.